This 484-nucleotide ribosomal RNA is filed under the name uncultured bacterium. RNAcentral describes it as "partial 16S ribosomal RNA". It matches the Rfam family "Bacterial small subunit ribosomal RNA", at positions 30 to 507 of the family's 1533-position model. The record is from RNAcentral.
AUUGAACGCUGGCGGCAGGCCUAACACAUGCAAGUCGAGCGGAUGAAGGGAGCUUGCUCCUGGAUUCAGCGGCGGACGGGUGAGUAAUGCAUAGGAAUCUGCCUGGUAGUGGGGGAUGACGUCCGGAAACGGGAGCUAAUACAGCAUACGUCCUGAGGGAGAAAGUGAGGGAUCUUCGGACCUCACGCGAUCAGAUGAGCCUACGUCGGAUUAGCUAGUUGGUGGGGUAAAGGCCUACCAAGGCGACGAUCCGUAACUGGUCUGAGAGGAUGAUCAGUCACACUGGAACUGAGACACGGUCCAGACUCCUACGGGAGGCAGCAGUGGGGAAUAUUGGACAAUGGGCGAAAGCCUGACCCAGCCAUGCCGCGUGUGUGAAGAAGGUCUUCGGAUCGUAAAGCACUUUUAGUUGGGAGGAAGAGCAGUAAGUUAAUACCUUGCUGUUUUGACGUUACCAACAGAAUAAGCACCGGCUAACUUCGUG